AGUGAACGCUGGCGGUAGGCCUAACACAUGCAAGUCGAACGGCAGCACAGUAAGAGCUUGCUCUUACGGGUGGCGAGUGGCGGACGGGUGGGGAAUACAUCGGAAUCUACUUUUUCGUGGGGGAUAACGUAGGGAAACUUACGCUAAUACCGCAUACGACCUACGGGUGAAAGCAGGGGAUCUUCGGACCUUGCGCGAUUGAAUGAGCCGAUGUCGGAUUAGCUAGUUGACGGGGUAAAGGCCCACCAAGGCGACGAUCCGUAGCUGGUCUGAGAGGAUGAUCAGCCACACUGGAACUGAGACACGGUCCAGACUCCUACGGGAGGCAGCAGUGGGGAAUAUUGGACAAUGGGCGCAAGCCUGAUCCAGCCAUACCGCGUGGGUGAAGAAGGCCUUCGGGUUGUAAAGCCCUUUUGUUGGGAAAGAAAAGCAGCAGGUUAAUACCCCGCUGUUCUGACGGUACCCAAAGAAUAAGCACCGGCUAACUUCGUG
RNAcentral lists this ribosomal RNA (492 nucleotides) under uncultured bacterium. Its description in RNAcentral is "partial 16S ribosomal RNA". It matches the Rfam family "Bacterial small subunit ribosomal RNA", at positions 29 to 507 of the family's 1533-position model. The record is from RNAcentral.